RNAcentral lists this ribosomal RNA (402 nucleotides) under bacterium. Its description in RNAcentral is "partial 16S ribosomal RNA". It matches the Rfam family "Bacterial small subunit ribosomal RNA", at positions 355 to 776 of the family's 1533-position model. The record is from RNAcentral.
UGGGGAAUUUUGCACAAUGGGGGAAACCCUGAUGCAGCGACGCCGCGUGAUUUAGAAGGCCUUCGGGUUGUAAAAAUCUUUUCUAUGGGAAGAAAAUGACAGUACCAUAGGAAUAAGGACCGGCUAAUUACGUGCCAGCAGCCGCGGUAAUACGUAAGGUCCGAGCGUUGUCCGGAAUCAUUGGGCGUAAAGGGUACGUAGGCGGGUAAGCAAGUUAGAAGUGAAAUCCUAUAGCUCAACUAUAGUAAGCUUUUAAAACUGCUCAUCUUGAGGUAUGGAAGGGAAAGUGGAAUUCCUAGUGUAGCGGUGAAAGGCGCAGAUAUUAGGUGGAAUACCGGUGGCGGAGGCGACUUUCUGGCCAUAACCUGACGCUGAGGUACGAAAGCGUGGGUAGCAAACAGG